AGGGCGUAUGGGGGAUGCCUAGGCUCUUGGAGGCUAAGAAGGACGUGGUAAGCUGCGAAAAGCUGCGGGGAUUUGCAAACGAGACUCGAUCCGCAGAUAUCCGAAUGGGACAACCCGGCAGGUAGAAGACCUGUCACACCGCGAGGUGAGCUAACCCUCUGAACUGAAACAUCUAAGUAGGAGGAGGAAAAGAAAGAAACAUCGAUUUCCAAAGUAGCGGCGAGCGAAAUGGAAGAAGCCCAAACCGAUAUUGUUACGGCAAUAUCGGGGUUGUAGGACUGCAAUAUUCAAUUAACAAUGAACUGGAAUGGUCUGGAAAGUCCAUCCAUAGAGAGUGAAAGGCUCGUACAGGUAAGUUUGUUAUGCGAAAGCAGUAUCCUGAGUAUGGCGGGACACGAGGAAUCCUGUCAGAAUCAGCCGGGACCACCCGGUAAGGCUAAAUACUCCCAAGAGACCGAUAGUGGACCAGUACUGUGAAGGAAAGGUGAAAAGAACCCCGAACAGGGGAGUGAAAUAGAACCUGAAACCAUACGCUUACAACCGGUCGGAGCAGCUUCGUGCUGUGACGGCGUGCCUAUUGAAUAAUGAGCCUACGAGUUACUAAUCACUAGCGAGGUUAAGUGCAAGGAUGCACGGAGCCGAAGCGAAAGCGAGUCUGAACAGGGCGUUUAGUUAGUGGUUGUAGACGCGAAACCUUGCGAUCUACCCUUGAGCAGGUUGAAGGUUGGGUAAAACCAACUGGAGGACCGAACGAAUAAGCGUUGAAAAGCUUCUCGAUGACUUGAGGGUAGGGGUGAAAGGCUAAUCAAGCUGGGAAAUAGCUCGUACUCCCCGAAAUGCCUUUUGGGGCAGCGUUGUAAUAAAGAGUCUACUGGAGGUAGAGCUACUGAUUGGAUGCGGGGGCUUCACCGCCUACCAAAUCCUGACAAACUCCGAAUGCCAGUAGUAUGAUUUACAGCAGUGAGUGACUGGGUGCUAAUGUCCAGUCGCAAAAGAGGAACAACUCAGACCAGCAACUAAGGUCCCGAAGAAUAUGCUAAGUUGAUCUAACGAUGUUUUGUUGCAGAGACAGCUAGGAUGUUAGCUUGGAAGCAGCUAUUCAUUCAAAGAGUGCGUAACAGCUCACUAGUCGAGCGACAGAGCGUGGAUAAUAAACGGGCAUCAAGCAUAUCACCGAAGUUCUGGGCGCGAGAGCGCGGUAGGGGAGCAUUCCAUUCAGCGUCGAAGCAGUUUCGUGAGGAAUUGUGGAGCGUAUGGAAAAGCAAAUGUAGGCAUGAGUAACGAUAAUGCGGGAGAGUAACCCGCACACCGCAAGACCAAGGUUUCCUGAUCAACGCUAAUCGGAUCAGGGUUAGUCGGGUCCUAAGGGUAAGCCGAACGGCGAUCUCGAUGGAUAAUCGGUUAAUAUUCCGAUACUAACAUAUACCUCGAUGGAGAGACGAAGGAACGUAAGUGCCGCCACCUGACGGAAUAGGUGGUUAAAGGGCGUAGGUAUAGGGGCAGAUUAAGAGUUAGUCCUUGCUGAAACCUGACAGUACAGAGAGCCUACGGGCAAUUUGAUAGAGCACCCAAGUCGACUUCCGAGAAAAUCUUCUAAGUUAUAGUAUAUGUUACCCGUACCGUAAACCGACACAGGUGGUCGAGGAGAGUAUCCUAAGGUGCUCGAGUGAAUCACGGUUAAGGAACUAGGCAAAUUAACCCCGUAACUUCGGGAAAAGGGGUCCCUAUGAAAGUAGGGCGCAGCGAAGAGGUCCAGGCGACUGUUUAUCAAAAACACAGGGCUCUGCAAAUUCGAAAGAAGACGUAUAGGGCCUGACACCUGCCCGGUGCUGGAAGGUUAAGAGGGGAUGUCAUCGCAAGAGAAGCAUUGAAUCGAAGCCCCAGUAAACGGCGGCCGUAACUAUAACGGUCCUAAGGUAGCGAAAUUCCUUGUCGGGUAAGUUCCGACCUGCACGAAUGGUGUAACGAUCUGGACACUGUCUCAACCGUGAGCUCGGUGAAAUUGUAGUCCCGGUGAUGAUGCCGGGUACCCGCAACGGGACGAAAAGACCCCGUGAACCUUUACUAUAGCUUAACGCUGAAUUUGGGUACACAAUGUGUAGGAUAGG
Molecule: ribosomal RNA, 2108 nt
Filed under: gut metagenome
Description: bacterial LSU rRNA
Rfam family: Bacterial large subunit ribosomal RNA
Source: RNAcentral